GACGAACGCUGGCGGCGUGCUUAACACAUGCAAGUCGAACGGAAAGGCCCUGCUUUUGUGGGGUGCUCGAGUGGCGAACGGGUGAGUAACACGUGAGUAACCUGCCCUUGACUUUGGGAUAACUUCAGGAAACUGGGGCUAAUACCGGAUAGGAGCUCCUGCUGCAUGGUGGGGGUUGGAAAGUUUCGGCGGUUGGGGAUGGACUCGCGGCUUAUCAGCUUGUUGGUGGGGUAGUGGCUUACCAAGGCUUUGACGGGUAGCCGGCCUGAGAGGGUGACCGGCCACAUUGGGACUGAGGUAGGGCCCAGAGUCCUAAGGGGGGCAACGGGGGGGAAUAUUGCACAAUGGGCGGGAGCCUGAAGCAACAACGCCGGGGGCGGGAAGACGGCCUUCGGGGUGUAAAACGCUUUCGCCUGAGACGAAGCGGGGGUGACGGUAAAGGGUGAAGAAGCACCGGCUAACUACGUG
RNAcentral lists this ribosomal RNA (468 nucleotides) under uncultured bacterium. RNAcentral's name for it is "partial 16S ribosomal RNA". It matches the Rfam family "Bacterial small subunit ribosomal RNA", at positions 28 to 507 of the family's 1533-position model. The record is from RNAcentral.